Molecule: ribosomal RNA, 344 nt
Filed under: uncultured bacterium
Lineage: Bacteria
Description: bacterial SSU rRNA
Rfam family: Bacterial small subunit ribosomal RNA
Source: RNAcentral
CCCAGACUCCUACGGGAGGCAGCAGUGGGGGAUAUUGCACAAUGGGGGGAACCCUGAUACAGCGACGCCGCGUGGGUGAAGGAGCGUUUCGGCGCGUAAAGCCCUAUCGGCAGGGAAGAAGGAGGACGGUACCUGACUAAGAGGCCCCGGCUAACUACGUGCCAGCAGCCGCGGCAAUAUGUAGGGGGCAAGCGUUAUCCGGAUUUACUGGUUGUAAAGGGGGCGCAGACGGCGGCGCACGCCAGGGGUGAAAGCCCGGGGCCCAACCCCGGGACUCCUCUUGGAACGGCGCGGCUGGAGUGCAGGAGGGGCAGGCGGAAUUCCUGGUGUAGCGGUGAAAUGUG